GCUGGAGUCAAACAGGUUAAUGAGCUCCGCUCCAGAGUCCAAACCACAGGCCAGAGAUCACAGAGCUAACAAGUAUCCAAGCAGAGGAGGGAACACAGGUGUGUCUGGUCCCAGUGCUCGGUCUCCCUCCUUCCCUGGAGGCAGAGAGCCUUCUAGCUUGGCAGCCACACCGGGGGCAGAGCGGAGAUUGGGUGAAGGUUGAGUCCUGAAGAAGGAGUCAGUCCUCCUCCUGGCGAGCCGUCAACCGCAGGAUUACAAAAAACAUUGAUUAAUGAGCUCAGAGACCUCCUGCCUGCCCCGGAGUGUACAAGGUUAAGAAGUGGUGGAGCUGGAUUCUAAGCCCAGUCCGUCUGCCUGCCAAAUCCUCAUCUCAGUAGAAAGGCCUGGUGGAGAGCAGUUGUCAGAGGAGCUGGGUCCUAAGUCCAACCUUUUCAUUGACCAGG
Long non-coding RNA from Myotis davidii, 443 nucleotides. RefSeq lists it as uncharacterized. The record is from RefSeq and is a predicted model, not a curated record. The transcript has 2 exons. Lineage: Eukaryota; Metazoa; Chordata; Mammalia; Chiroptera; Vespertilionidae.